This 1998-nucleotide ribosomal RNA is filed under the name Diderma testaceum. RNAcentral's name for it is "partial 28S ribosomal RNA". The stretch from base 1 to 1183 matches the Rfam family "Eukaryotic large subunit ribosomal RNA", at positions 2257 to 3401 of the family's 3401-position model. The record is from RNAcentral. Lineage: Eukaryota; Evosea; Eumycetozoa; Physariida; Didymiaceae.
GAGUAACUAUGACUCUCUUAAGGUAGCCAAAUGCCUCGUCAUCGUAUCAAAAAAGGGUGAAAUCGGCUCAUUUUGGGCCUAAAAGUAGCUUAAUUGCUUGAAGGAGGGGUCAUUUUCGACGCGGGAAGCGAUUUUCUCGACGGCACGGGUACCAAUUCUGCCAGAAUGAGUACGAUUGCAGUCGAGAAAUUUUUUUCCGCCGUUGAUUUUGGACCGAUUUUACGGUCUCCGACAAGCAGCCGGGCUUUUUCGAGCUCGGGAAAGCCGAUCGAGUGUUGGAGGUCGGGAUUUCCCGACCCCCAAAUGAUCCUUUCGGUGUCCCGAGGUCGGGAAAACACGGUCCAGAGACUAUACAGCUCGGAAAAGAGAGGUAGUCCGUCGAAAGUAGUACCGGAGAGGUCGGUGGAUUCACGAUUUUGGUCGAGAAACCACCGAGAAACCUCGGUGCGGACGAAAAAAGACGUUAAUUUGUGACGCGCAUGAAUGGAUUAAUGAGAUUCCCACUGUCCCUACCUACUAUCUAGCGAAACCACAGCCAAGGGAACGGGCUUGGCACAAUUAGCGGGGAAAGAAGACCCUGUUGAGCUUGACUCUAGGCACAGAAGCGAGGUGAUUCUAAAGGUGUAGCAUAGGUGGGAGGGCCUGGCCCGACCUUGAAAUACCACCACUUGAGACAUUGCUUUGCUAAUGCUGUAACGAACGAACGGCCCCCGGGCCGCCAUCCGCAAGGGUGGCACCCGGUACGGUCAUAUUCUAGCGCUUUCCUAGUCGAGUACGACGGCUUGGCUCCUCUGGGUGAGUACCCUGGGACCGCAAGUUGGGCUUCCGGGUCUGACGAGCGUUGCUCCUGGGGGAACCAGGGAUAGUUGGGCUGUCCUCUGCUUGGCGAUUCGGGUACGUAAGCCGUGUAGCAGACCAUCUGUGUUGGGGAGUUUGGCUGGGGCGGAAAACUGCUACACGGCAACGGCAGUCUCCUAAGGUCCACUCAGAGACGACAGAAACGUCUCGUAGAGCAUAAAGGCAAAAGUGGGCUUAACUUACAUUCUCAGUAGUAAUGUGAAGCAAGAAAUUGAGGCUUAACGAUCCUUAGCAGCGGGUGCCAGCCCAUGCUUGAGGUGAGAGAAAAGUUACCACAGGGAUUGAUCAAAGCGUAGCUUUCCGGGAUAUUCCAAUGGAGGUCAGUAGGGACGCCGAACACCUCCGGAGUAUCUCGUAUGACUCGGGUUUGCAGUAGUACGACCGGCUCUCCUCGCGGGGGGCUGGAGAUACGAGACAUUCUCGGGUUUGGUUCCAAAACGUAGUCAGACUCGAGAGAAGCGCAGGUUUCUCGGGUCAGGCGACGCACCUGGUUGCUGGGAACACCCAUCCCAAACGGCUUCGGUACCAAGCGUUCCCCGGUGAUUCCGGGGCGUGAAGUGUGAGCCCUUCCACCCUUCAAUGGGGGUCGGCGAGCACGGGUAAUAAUCCGAUGUCCGGGGUUGACCAGCAGGCGACAAGGACUGCCCAAGUUGGCUAAUAGGGGGAGAGUAGGGAUCUUCGGAUCUCUCCGAGCCCGACUUGCCACCUGGUAACGGCGUCUAAGCGUCUCAACGACUGGGAAGGUGCGGGUGCUUGUGGGCCUGAAGCAGAGUUACUCCUACCCGGGGUUUCUCCGUGAUAAGGCUUGCUAGUGCUUAAGGUACAGUCUACCCCCACCCGCAAGGGUGUCCUUGGCUCCCACCCGGAGAAAUCCCGUUUGCGACGUCACGCAUUGCGAGGCGGCUUACUGCAAUAGGGCAAAUCGCCGGAUGACCCACCACUGCAGGGUCGGCCAAAGGAGAGGUUUCGUCGUUAAGUAUGAUACCCCGAGAUCGUUAGCGUAGGGAGAUUCCUGGGAUGGAGGCUUUCACCACCACCCCGCUUAAGGUUUCACCCAAGAGAUCACGAGGAGGAUGCUAUACGGCGAUUCCCGGUAUGGGGAACUGGCUUGUGGCCGCCAAGCGUUCAUAGCGACGUGGC